AAGGGUAGACACAUGAUAUGAUGACUACGCAUUAAUGUCACGUGUAGCCCCUCAUUGAGGAGUGUUUAUCAGACAUUUUAUGGGGUGAUCCUAUAGGAUAAACAACCUAGGACCCCUCUUUACCAAAUCCUCUCUCUCUCUCUAUUUAAGCUUGUUCAAACCUUUAUCUUGCCACAAGAGUUAUCUAACAUGAUUUACUUGCAACUUCUUUUAUUCAAUUGUUUAUAUGGACUAAUUUGUAAAUGUAAGUUCAGCUGGGACCCAUAGUUGUGGAUCAAGA
This 280-nucleotide long non-coding RNA is filed under the name Nicotiana benthamiana. RNAcentral's name for it is "long non-coding RNA (NBEN_LNC011334)". The record is from RNAcentral. Lineage: Eukaryota; Viridiplantae; Streptophyta; Magnoliopsida; Solanales; Solanaceae.